GACGAACGCUGGCGGCGUGCUUAACUCAUGCAAGUCGAACGGAAAGGCCCUGCUUUUGUGGGGUGCUCGAGUGGCGAACGGGUGAGUAACACGUGAGUAACCUGCCCUUGACUUUGGGAUAACUUCAGGAAACUGGGGCUAAUACCGGAUAGGAGCUCCUGCUGCAUGGUGGGGGUUGGAAAGUUUCGGCGGUUGGGGAUGGACUCGCGGCUUAUCAGCUUGUUGGUGGGGUAGUGGCUUACCAAGGCUUUGACGGGUAGCCGGCCUGAGAGGGUGACCGGCCACAUUGGGACUGAGAUACGGCCCAGACUCCUACGGGAGGCAGCAGUGGGGAAUAUUGCACAAUGGGCGGAAGCCUGAUGCAGCAACGCCGCGUGCGGGAUGACGGCCUUCGGGUUGUAAACCGCUUUCGCCUGUGACGAAGCGUGAGUGACGGUAAUGGGUAAAGAGGCACCGGCUAACUACGUG
This 468-nucleotide ribosomal RNA is filed under the name uncultured bacterium. Its description in RNAcentral is "partial 16S ribosomal RNA". It matches the Rfam family "Bacterial small subunit ribosomal RNA", at positions 28 to 507 of the family's 1533-position model. The record is from RNAcentral.